UCGAGCGCCCCGCAGGGGAGCGGCAGACGGGUGAGUAACGCGUGGCCAUCUACCCUUUUCUACGGAAUAACGCAUGGAAACGUGUGCUAAUACCGUAUGAGCCCUUCGGGGGAAAGAUUUAUCGGGAAAGGAUGAGCCCGCGUUGGAUUAGCUAGUUGGUGGGGUAAAGGCCUACCAAGGCGACGAUCCAUAGCUGGUCUGAGAGGAUGAUCAGCCACAUUGGGACUGAGACACGGCCCAAACUCCUACGGGAGGCAGCAGUGGGGAAUAUUGGACAAUGGGCGCAAGCCUGAUCCAGCCAUGCCGCGUGAGUGAUGAAGGCCCUAGGGUUGUAAAGCUCUUUCACCGGUGAAGAUAAUGACGGUAACCGGAGAAGAAGCCCUGGCUAACUUCGUGCCAGCAGCCGCGGUAAUACGAAGGGGGCUAGCGUUGUUCGGAAUUACUGGGCGUAAAGCGCACGUAGGCGGACAUUUAAGUCAGGGGUGAAAUCCCAGAGCUCAACUCUGGAACUGCCUUUGAUACUGGGUGUCUAGAGUAUGGAAGAGGUGAGUGGAAUUCCGAGUGUAGAGGUGAAAUUCGUAGAUAUUCGGAGGAACACCAGUGGCGAAGGCGGCUCACUGGUCCAUUACUGACGCUGAGGUGCGAAAGCGUGGGGAGCAUACAGGAUUAGAUACCCUGGUAGU
Molecule: ribosomal RNA, 683 nt
Filed under: uncultured bacterium
Lineage: Bacteria
Description: bacterial SSU rRNA
Rfam family: Bacterial small subunit ribosomal RNA
Source: RNAcentral